GAUGAAGAACGUAGCGAAAUGCGAUAAGUAAUGUGAAUUGCGGAAUUCAGUGAAUCAUCGAAUCUUUGAACGCACAUUGCGCCCCUUGGUAUUCCGAGGGGCAUGCCUGUUCGAGCGUCAUUAUAACCCCUCAAGCUCAGCUUGGUGUUGGGGCCUGCUGCACUGGCAGCCCUUAAAAUCAGUGGCGGCGCCAUCUGGCUCUAAGCGUAGUAAUUCUUCUCGCUAUGGAGUCCUGGUGGAUGCUUGCCAUCAACCCCCAAUUUUUCUAUGGUUGACCUCGGAUCAGGUAGGGAUACCCGCUGAACUUAAGCAUAUCAAUAAGCGGAGGA
This 329-nucleotide unclassified non-coding RNA is filed under the name soil metagenome. RNAcentral describes it as "partial contains 5.8S ribosomal RNA, internal transcribed spacer 2, and large subunit ribosomal RNA". The stretch from base 1 to 120 matches the Rfam family "5.8S ribosomal RNA", at positions 35 to 154 of the family's 154-position model. The record is from RNAcentral.